Molecule: small RNA, 2645 nt
Filed under: Pongo abelii (Sumatran orangutan)
Lineage: Eukaryota; Metazoa; Chordata; Mammalia; Primates; Hominidae
Description: retained intron
Source: RNAcentral
GUUGUCUGAAGGCCGAGGGCAAGAUGGCGGCGCUGUCAGCUCCUGGCCUGCGCAGCUUCUGGAUCCUUGGUCUUCGCUCCAGCGUGGGCACAGCUGUGCAGGCACAAGGUGUUCAUCAGAGCGUGGCCACCGAUGGCCCAAGCAGCACCCAGCCUGCCCUGCCAAAGGCCAGAGCCGUGGCUCCCAAACCCAGCAGCCGGGGCGAGUAUGUGGUGGCCAAGCUGGAUGACCUCAUCAACUGGGCCCGCCGGGUGAGUCUACUAUGAGCUUCAGGCCCUCCUCGAGUGCCAGGGCCUCUCUGCACACUCACAGGCACACACAUACACACACAAACGUACAGACACGUACACACACAACACAUGCAUGCAAGCUCACAUGUAUGGACAGACAUGUGUACAUGCACCACUCACGCACACACAUGCACAUAUGCACACUUGCACACACGCACACUGACACAUACACAUGCACACACGCACACUCAUGCACACACAUAUGCACACAUGCACACACACAUGCACACACUUGUGCACACAUGCACACCUAUACAUACGCACAUGCACACUCGCACUCAUGCGCACACGCACACACAUGCACACAUUUACACACGCACUCAUGCACACAUAUGCACACACACGUACACAUGCACACUCACACAUGUAUGCACACUCACGCACACACAUGCACACACAUCCUUGUGUGGACACAUGCAUGUGCACCUAUUGGCAUGCAUGCACACAGGGACACUCACUGAUGCACACACACCCGUGCAGCUGUGGAGCAGGGUGGACCCUCCCGGAGGCCCCUGUGCUGGCCUAGUGGCCUGUGGUUCCAUCUGAGGAUUCGGACCCUGCUUGAGAUGACCCCCUCCCUUUCCGUCAUUCUCUUUUGGGCUUUUGUGUGUUCCUCUUGUUUCUCUUUUAAGGUGAAAGCAGUGUUUUAAGUUAAAAGGAGCGCGUGUGAAGGCAGUAGAUCCUUCUCGGUACUCGUCUAAAGCCUCCCCUACCUGUGGCGCCAGUCCCCACGCAGCCCCUGCCAUCCCCCUGCAGCGUGAGCACGUGCAGCUCCCUCCAGCUCCUGCGGCACUUGCCGCGACAGCCCGGGUUCAACAAUCCCCCAUUGAUGGACGUUCACUGUUUCCUUUUGUUUUUUGUUUCCUAAACAAUGCCACUGCGAACAUCCUGCCAGGGCCGCAGUGGUCGAGACAAGGAUGCCCACUGCAGGAUAGUUUCUAAUGGAGGGCACCUGAGGCAUGGCCAGGGGCCGUCCCAACACAGGCUCCUGGUGGGCAGGUGGGCCUGGCCGUUUCUGCCCGGGCAGCCCUGCCUCGCUCUGUAGUCUGGCCCUGUCACCCGCCAACACAUGCAGCAGGGCCCCUGCCAGGUCUCGGAGCCGCGUGCAGGGAGAGCGGGAAUCGCGGGGGAAAUGAGAAGCUACAGAGAUGGAGGAGAGGAGAGAGAGUGGCCAAGGAGAUCUGAGAGGGCUUCCUGGAGGCGUCGCACUUGGUAUGCGGACCCAGAUCUAGUUAAUGCAGAGAGUUCCUGGUCAGACCUGCGCUACUAAUCGCCUGUAGCCCACGCGCUCAGAGAGUGGCUGGAGCCCCCUGUUGAAAUGGUGGGACUUAGGAUACACUGGGUUCGAGGAACUGUGUGAUGAGGACAGAUCUCACCCGUUUCUCUCUAUUUUAUUUAUUCGAAUGUGGCUGGUGGGGCGCGCUUUAAACUCUUGGGGCCCGGAAGCCACCUGCAGGAGCCGCUGUGCCUCUCACCUCUGCCGGCUGCCGCCCCGGGACAUGAGUCGGGGGUUCUAGGUGCUCCACGUGGAGUCUCACGCUGGGCCACGCGGGGCUCCGGGGGUGGCAUCUGACCCGAGCCUGGCCUCUGCAGAGUUCUCUGUGGCCCAUGACCUUCGGCCUGGCCUGCUGCGCCGUGGAGAUGAUGCACAUGGCCGCACCCCGCUACGACAUGGACCGCUUCGGCGUGGUCUUCCGCGCCAGCCCGCGCCAGUCCGACGUCAUGAUCGUGGCCGGCACACUCACCAACAAGAUGGCCCCAGCGCUUCGCAAGGUAGGCCUCGUCCCCGCCGCCCAGCCGCCCCCAGAGUGAGCUGCGCACGGACCCCGUCUCUCUUCCAGGUCUACGACCAGAUGCCGGAGCCGCGCUACGUGGUCUCCAUGGGGAGCUGCGCCAACGGAGGAGGCUACUACCACUACUCAUACUCGGUGGUGAGGGGCUGCGACCGCAUCGUGCCUGUGGACAUCUACAUCCCAGGUAGGGCCGGGACCGCACCGCCCACGAGGGAGCUGGGGACAGGGCCAGCGCCACACGGAGCCCGGCGGCCCCUGUGAGGGAGUCCCACACCCCAAGCAGACGGCGGGCUCCCCCAUCCUGUGGAUGGGCCGACUCGGGGCUCUCCCUCUUAGUGGAGCGUGUCCCCUAUGAGAAGUCAGCGAUGUAUUCAGGCAUCAGAGGGAUCAGAGGGAGGAGGGGAGGCGGAGUGGAAUUCCUGACACUCGCCUGGUUUACAGCAGUUUCAUAUGGUCCUGCCUGACAGAAACCAAAGACCUGCAGUUAGAAAUACCAAGAGAGAAGGUUCCUGGAGGCCAAGACACUAUCCCGCGCCCUCAGCCUUACAGAAGGGCACGAGGA